UUUGGAAAGUGUUAAUAAGAUAGGCAGGGCUGAGGGGAGAGAACAAGAGAGGGAGAAGGGGGUAGAUUUUGAUGAGGAGGUGACGGCAAUGACAGUGACUGAGAAGGGCAAUAAAGCCAGGAGCAGGCUGUGGGAAGAGGGAGUGGCUUCCCUCAGAAGAGGCGCCGCCUCCCUAGCAGUGAGCAAAUGUGUUUAGGAGCUUGUUCUUCCUCCCAAUCCAGAGACGGAUUGCUGAGAUGAUUCCUGCUUUCCGGCUCCCCGACACCCGCUGUUCUUUAGAUCCGCUCAGCGGCGCUUUUUCCUGUGCCAUGUGCCCAGAUCUGAGCGAGGCUUGGGAAGAUGCGAACGGGCUGUAAAAUCUGUCCCCAGAACUGGAGAGUAAGAAUGCGCGGUGUGGGGCUGAGCUGAGUCCAGGGAGUGCGAGAAUUUAGCAGUCGUGCUGUGCCUGGGCAUUUCAGACUGUGCCACAGCCGGGCCUGCCUGUUCUGCAAUGUGGCUGAGGAAGGGAGCCAGAAACGCUGCUGCAGGGCUGGCUGUGGGCAGUGGCAGGAAGCAAACAGAGGCUCUCUGGCGACUUCUCUCCCCUGGAGGCCCUCCUCCCUCUACUUCUAGCCCCACUGCUGUGGGACAGUUGCAUCCUGGGGCUUUCUGUGGCUCUCCCAUCAGUGCCCUGGGGCUGGCAUAUGCGACACCUCCUCUGCCUAGGGCAUUCAGGCAUUCUUCAGUACUUGGUGAGCACCUCCUAGUGCCAAGCUCUGUCCUGGUCACAGGAGAGCACUCCUAUCCAUGUGUUGUCCCUGUCCUCACUGCGCUUUGGGCCGGAGAGGAGCUCACUGUCUGAUCCUUUUCCCCGACUGUGGCUUAAGGGGUUUCAUCUCUUGCUAGAGCCCUUCUAGGCAGGCAGCAGGUCCUGGUUUGUGAGCAAGGGGCUCCUCCUCCAUUUUGGAGCCUCGGCUGCCCUGCCUCCCCGGUAAUCUGGUAUUCUGGUAGUGCCUCUCUGGGCCCUGGUUUAAAAGGCCGAGAGAAGCUGUAUUCUGGAGAUCAGCUCCAGGUUCUCCCGCAGAGAGCAAGCUCCAGGCACAGGCAAAGGGUGUGGCUUCAGAGAAGAGCGAGGAUCUUGCCAUCUCUUUUACAGAUCCGUGGAAGGCAGAGAGAAUUUGGGAACCUGUGUGCUAUAAGCAUGGAAAAUUGGGACUCAGGUAAAAAGGCUGGUUCCUGGUCACACAGCUGGUCAUGGGCACUUUGGCAAAGGAGUGUGAGUUUUGGGGAAGCUCAAGGAAGAGGUACCAGGUAGAGAGAGGGCCAGGGCUGAGUUCACGGGCUCUUUCUAAAUGGAAAUGUCUCACAUUCAGCUGUUGUCUGCCUUUGAGUCACACAGAACCACUUGCAGGAAGAACUCUAGAGAAUUUGGGAAGAAAGGGGGAGAGGACAGACAAAAGAUGCAUUUUUUUUUCAAGAAGCAGGAAAAUGUAAGGAAAAUUGAAGGUGUUCUCAAGUGUGUCUGCUGCUGCCUGACACAGGUUAACCCCGUCGCAGGUCACUCCGCUCUGUUAAUUGCAUCCUAACCUUCCUCGGCUCUUCGGCAGCGAAAUCGCAGCAGAGGAGAUGGAGCAGCUUCGUGCGCAUUGCUCAUUUGCGCCAACGUGAAAAGAACUGCCAGGAUGCCCAGGACACCAGCUCCCUGGCUUCUGCGGGGCUUGCACAGUCCUGAAUCAGCCCGAGAGCUGUGGAUCUGCGUCCCCUGGCUGCAUAGCCGACUGCCGGCUCCAUGGAGGGGCCUGUGCCGGAGAACGCACAUGUUGACUUAUUUCUUCAGUCUAGGCCUUUCUUGGCCCCCUUGGUUAUUCAUUCUAGAUGAUACACCUCGUAUUUCAGUUCAAAUGUCUUACGGAAGAGGCAUUGAAGACAGAGUGGAUGCCCGUGUUCUUUGGCAGUAGGUAGUAUUUACCACUCCGGCUGUAGUAAAAGAACAAAAGGAGAAAUUACACCUAUUUCUCAUAUUUAAGGGAAAAGCAAUUAAAUCACCAAAGUCAGAUUCUCGAGUAAUUGCUGGGCCCUUGGAGGGGCGGGCAAGGUGAGGUGUGAGGCCCCAGAUCUCUGUCUUGUGUGGGGCUGACACUGCCUGCUGGGGACUCCAAGCAGAGGCGGGGCCAGGGAAGGCAGCAUGCAGGGGGAAACCGAGAGCCUCUUGCCAGCCUCCCCUCCCAGCUGCUAUCCAUGCACUUGUCGUAGCUUCCCCGCUGUCCUCAGGCCAGGCAAGAGGUAGCAGGGCUCCAGCUACAGAAGUUAUAGGAGGCGACUCUCAGAGCCUUGGUUUCCUCCAUUUGAAAUACUGAGAACAGUAUCUUCCAUACCUAGUUUCUAAAAGUUGUUAUGAAGAUUACGUAGAUUCAUACCUGUGAAGGCUGGUGAAAGAAUAAAACAGCCUAAACACACAAGGUGUUAAAAACAUCCCUUCCAACUAAAUAAUAGAUGAGUUGGAAUCCCAAGCAUGCCGGACAGCAGCAGUCACAGCGGAGGGGUGGGGGCCCCGGCCCUUACCAGGUGACCUCCCAUCGGUCAGGAGGACAAUGGCAUGUGGCAGUGCCGAGCACCACCUGGCUGGGAUCACUUCUCCCGCCUUCUUUUCUCCUUCUCCGGCCUGGGUCGGUAGCAUGGUCCGGAGAGCCAGCAGGCAGUCUCUCCCAGUCCGCAGAGGCAGAGGAGCUGUCUGAAUGUGCAGGGCGGCCACUGCCAACGCAGCCUGGGAUCAGGAGCUGCCCUGCCCCCGGUGAUCUCUGCAAAUCAAUGCUUACCCAGAAGGAAAACCAAUUUACAUUGGGUGAGUAACAGAGAAUGCCAAGUUCGUGUUAGGAGAUGAAGUUCUUUUGGAUGAAGGGAGGCCGGAGCCCUUUAAAAAUAGUAUUUUAUUUGUAUGUGUUCCCACUGCUGAGUAAGGUGUUCCUUAGGCCAGCUCUGGGCAAAAUUGGGAAGCUCCGUUUCAGCUCCCCCAAGCCCCACUUGUUUUAAAAUAGGUAUGUGAAAACUGUUACAAUAUCCAGGCAAGAUGGACAAUAGUAGAACUGACAUUCAAUCUUCAUUUUGAAGAGCAGUUAAAUGGGAGUGAGAUUAUAACACUGCUAAAAUAAGAUUAAUGUUAUAAUAAAUGCUAGCAUCCCAGAACAAUUGAAUAGAAAUAUAAUGAACAGCCAAGGCUGGUAAGUGGAAAUGUCAUCAACGGCCACAUAGGUAGAGUAAGUUACUACCUUUGAGGAUUGAGUUGGACUGUGCAUAAAAUGAGAUCCAGAAUAACUGUGGCUUUAGCUAGAUAGAGGUUUAUUUCUUUCUUACAUAAAAAUCUGGACACCACCCUCCCUCUUUUCUCUGUGUCCUCUGGAGUGAGGGCAACUUUGCUUAUCUAACACACUAGACGCUGGGGUGUCUGGCCUCCAUUGCUCAUUGCUUCUUCUUUCUUGUGGUUCCACAUGGGCUUCUGUUCCCCCAGGAUACCUCUAGGUCCAAGAUGACUGCUGUAGCACUGCCCAUCACGCCUGCAUUCCUGCCAGCAAGAAAGAGGAAUGAGGAAGACGUGGCAAAGAGCAGACACCUGCUGUCUCUUAAAGAAGAUUCCCAGAAACUGCAGCACACACUUUCACUUACAUCCCAUGGGCUGAGCCUUGGUCUAGGACUAUACCUAGCUGUCUCUAUUCAGUCAGCCAGUGCCUGCAAAAAACAAGUACUAUGAAAGAAGUGGGAAGCACACUGGCCACCACUGAUGAUCUCUGUCAUUUGUGUAAUUUCCAGAUUUCUGGGAAGUGCCUCUGCCUUCCCCUACCUUCCUGCAUCUCCCAGUCCACUUAGCUGAUGCCUGCAUUCUCAACAGUUGUUAAGUCUCUCACUAAGACAAAGAGGACUUUCUCAUGCCGAAACCUUCUUGCUCCAGGUCAUUUGGAGAGUUCCCGGUGCUGAUUUGUUUUUUUCCCCCCAAUAUUUCCCCAGCCCAACUGAGCUGAUUUCCGGGUGAUUCACCUCCAAGAUAUUUUUUUUCCUGUUGUCCACCCUCUCAGAGGGCAUUACCUAUUCAAGCAGACAGCAUUCACUGAGGCUCACUAUAUGCCAGCUCUUACACUCGGUUUUAUAUUCUUCUUCUCACGUAGUCUCUAGCACAGCUCUAAGAGAUGAUUGCUCUUCAUGGAAAUUAGGAUCAAAAUCGUGGUACACACCAGUGUGAUCCUAUGCCCUAGCCCUGCUGCCAAUCUUUAUGCCACACUACCUCUCCUGUAUCCUGUAUGAUCUCUGUCACCAUGCCCAUCUUAUAGGUUAGGGAAGAAGGUGAAUAAGUUUCCAUGGUAGGCCUGACAUGGGGCUGAGUCCUGGGGAGAAGGCACAUUUCUCUUGGUCCUAGUUCUCAAGGCAUGUGUGUAAAGCAGAGGGGAGGGGAGCUGGAGGAAGUUAACACAAUUCCUAUAUGAUAUAAGGCCAACUGGGAUGUUUUCUAAGAGGUGAAAGUAGGUUACUUUCACUGCAGAUGUUCAGGAGAUGUAAGGUUGAGACACCUGAAGGGUGGCAUGAAACGAGUCAACUACUCUGCCCCAGCUACCCCUCCUUUCCUGUGGCUUGGCUGUAGGGCUUCACCAGUCCACACCCAGUCGAGUUAAGGUCCUUAUUGUGUGAGCCAGCUGUCAGCUGGGUUCCCGCCUAGGAGAAUCUGGUCAAAUUUUACUGGAAUCCUCAUUCCGUGGCCUUGGAAGAACUCAGAGUCCUUCCUGCAAUUUCUUUUCCUUAGUGCUUUCUUCCUUCAGCCUCCCUUAGCCUCAUUGCCUGAAUGUCACCUCCUUAGUCCAUGCCACUGUUUUCAUGGAAGGUCAUUCUCAAGCCUGUUUCUCAGUUUAGCAGCUUUAUUGGAGAAUCAUUCUCUGAGAUAGGACCCCCUCCUAGGAAUCCCCCCAGUCUUUUAUUAGAAAAGGCCCACCCUUUUUGCCUUUUCUCUCCCUCCUCUGGGAUGACUUCAGCUUUAUGUCUAACACAUGAUUCCUCAACAUUUGCGAAUUUUAUACUCAACCAAUUUAUGAAAGUAUUUUUCUCACCAAGACCUGAUUUCUUAUGCUGUAAGAGAUCCUGGAGAAUUAAGUUUCCUUCUCUUGUUACUCUUGACGUUUUGGUGACUGUAUUGGUAGAGCAGAAGUUAAUCUAAAUCUCCAGGUCAAAAAGCAAUGCCGUGAUGCUGUUGAAAGUGGUGAUGAGAAACCCUGGUCCCUCAUGUGGGCCUGGGAGGCAGGGCCUUGAGAUUAUGGUGAGGUCAUUGGCCCUGAAGCAAUGGGACUGGCUACUUGUCAGAUGUGGCAGUUGCUAACAAUUGUGAAGAUGGUUGUAAUGAAAACACCUGCUUCACAAUAUAUGAGUUGGGCCAUUGAUGGAAGCCCUAGAGAUACUUAGUGCUUACCACAUCCAGGUAUUCAUUCCUGAGCACAUGAGAAGACUCAAGUUGUCCUGAAAGUAGUUCAAGAUCAUCUAACCAGCACUACCCAGUGGACUUUGAGUAAAAAGGCAUAUCAUUUUUGUUCUGAGGCAGUUAAGAGUCUCCCAUGCUCACUCUAUCCGUGGGAGCCAGGAGUUGAAAUGGUAGCAGCAUGGAAUGGGAAGACCUUAGAUCCUUGAGACAUCAGAUGGAGGAGAGUCCUGCUGACCUGCAUCAGACUUUGCAUGAACAACAUAUAAUCUUCUAUAAGGUUGAACCCCUGCUACUUUAUUUGUUACUGUAGCAUAGCAGAGUGUGUCCCAACAAACACAGAUAAUAUGGAAAUGUAUAUAGCUUUUACUCAGCUCUGCCACUGGGAUAUUUCUGGAUAUUUAGUAGCUUCCAAAGGUUUGCUGGUUAAGGGGUGUUUUGGAAGAAGAAAGGGAUGAUUUUCUGUAUUCUUUACUUAUUUCUGUUGUUUUUUUCUUAAGUGGUCAUCAUUUCAAAAAGACUAGGUAAUAAGGUGAGAGGUACUGAAAUAGAAGUGCCAACAGACAAAAUUGGAGAGAAGCAUUUGGUAGGAUGGUUUGCAAAAAACCCCUCAAGCCUCUGCUUGCCUAAUUGAUAUGCUGUUCUGGAACAAUUCAGCCUGACACAGGUGCUCCUGCAGGUUAGUUAAAAGGAGAGUGCAGUGCGGAAUCCAUAUGCUACCAUUCCGCCUUUCAAAGCAGCAGAGAAUCUGAGGCUGUGUCUCCAUUAGUAAUCACCAGACAUAACAGUUAAACAUGUAUCACACCAGGCUCAAAAAUCCCUGGAAGAUACUUUGUGUCCAUUCUGUUCUACUCUGAAUCUGUUCAUAAUAUUGGUAAAAUGGGACAAGAGGUUGGAGAAGAAGAAGAAGGGAAGGAAACCCCCGACAAGAUUUGGAAAGCAGAGAAUUCACAUAUUCUACUCUUGGAAGCUUAAAGAGUGUCCAACAGAGUGCCUAAUAAAGCGUAAAGUGAAUAUUUAUUGAACCAAUGGUGACCAUGUGCUAAGAGGUUGAACAUAUCAGUUAUCAGUGGAGAUUCUGGCUAUGAAGAGAGGUGGUUAGUACCAUCCAGUGCAGCUCACCACCUGACACACACAUGGCAAGGUCUGGGACAGCUAAGCCUGCAUAUGCUGUGUGUAGUUUAAUUCUCUUUUCCAUAUUCUUUGAUCCAGUUCCUGUGGGUGUGGACAUUCCAGUCACAGAACAGCAGCUCUACAUCUAGGAGGCUCCUGAAGAACCCAAACUAACUAUGAAAAUGCAAGUGAAAAGUCCUGCUCUGGUGUGUUACAGGUGCUGCUUCUAGAAAACCCCUUUAUUAGAAAGCAGCAUGAAACCAGCGUUGGGAUAUAAGAGGAUGUGCUUUGUUAAAAGAAAACCUCUUUCUAAUACUCCCAACCAAAGAGCCAGAGGUCUUGUCUAACUAAAUGCCACCUUUCUGUGAUUCUUGGAGCUUCAUCUUCAAAGACUGAGAGGAUCCUCCUUCAUCUGAAACCUCUCAGAAAGGGAAAGGUUGGUCGUGACUUGUCCCCUCAACAAGGAACUUCAGGAACUGCCAACUGUGUUCAGUAACCCUUCUCUGACAGGAUGCUCUCCAGAAAAAUUCCUGCUAGCUUGACUCAGAAGAAGAGCAGCCUGUGCAUGAGCCUGUUCCCCUUGAGAAUUUCCUCUUCCUUCAUUAGUGUCUUGCGAUGGCCACAUUUUCCAUUUCUGUGACUUCCUACCAGCUUUUCAAAUGCUUAACUACAAACUAAAGUUAUUCUGGCAUUGGCAAUGUGAUCUCUGGAUUCUCACAACUAGCUUUCCUCAAGAUGAAUAUUGGGACGAGUUUGGUAGCAGACUGUAUGAUAAGGAGCACUGGAGUGGGAGUCAGAAAGCAUUGUGAACCCUACAGGGCAAGUGACUUCAUCUCUCUCAAUCUCAUUGUCAUCAACCGUAAGUGAGAGUGAAUGAAGGAUGCUCCCAACUGUCAAACCCUGUAAGUCAAGAAAACCUGUGCUCCAGAGGAGAACAUGAACAUUGGCAAAAAGGUAUUUAUACAUCCUUCACCAUAUUUUUGUAGAUGAGUCUGAAAGAAUUUUGAAUUCACCUAGCAAUUGCACUAUCCUGAUUUCAUAUGGAAAACACAGUUUCAAGAAGUUAACCGCAAGGCUUGCACACUGGCUGGCUUCCAGCCUUCUCCUCACAGAGUAGAUUAACUAAUCCAGACAAUUACUGUCAAACAAAGGAGCAGGUUGGAAAUUCUUGGAGGAUUUUUUUUUUGGUACAGCUUGUAUAGUUAAAUUGAGAGACCUCAAGUGGAAUUGUUUUCAUGAAUAAUUUAAGUAACUAUUCUAUUUAUCUAGUGCUUGUUGGGUAAAAAUUUACAAAAAUUAUGAAAGUUGGAUCAACUGACCAAUUUGAAGGACAAACAUGAUUCCAGCUUUCUUUUACUUUAUUUUUUCCCCUAGGACCACAGCAAUUAGAAUAAUUUUAUCACGAGUUUGAGCAAAUAAGUCAUCCAAUCCCAAACUGAAAGUAAUUGAAAAGUAAACCAUCACAACAUCCCACCUCAAACAGGUGUACUGGGAAGCAGUGUGUGUAUAUAGCACACCUUAUAAAAUGAAAUAGGCAGGGUACAAAAUUUCUGAAAACAGAAUCUCUCAAUUAGGACCUUCCCCAUGUGUAUGCCAUUACCUUGAUAAAAUUGAGACUUGACCAGUGGCUCAAUAAAUUUGGGGAAAACAGAAACAAUUAAGUUCUCACUUCAGAUUCAUACUUUUUAAAUUUUCUUUUAUAUUUUCAGAUUUAUGGUCUUAAUGCAGGCUAGGUAUUGCAUUUUGACAAUGGAAUCUGAAACAGCUACGACUCUAGAUUUUGUAAAUUCUUCUUGACCAUAGCAGUGGCUUAGUUUUAACUGUGAUUACUGUCUCAUUGGUCAAACUGUUUUGACAGAAAGGACAUUUUAUUGAGAGGUUAGUCCCCAAAAGACAUGCUUUGGAGAUCUUUUUCAAAUGUUCAAAUAAUGGAUGGCUUAGUUUAUACUCUUUACCCGAAAAUGAAAAUUCUGGCAUUCUCAUUAGCCUUCUCACAAAGCAAGUCUUUAAAGCUUCCCCAACACAUGUGAAAACCGAAUUUUAUGAGGAUUCAAGACCAGCCAGGAAACUUUAGUAAAGACUAGAUUUCAGAACAGCAGAUCUUUAGUUGUGCAAAGGACAUUGCUAAACUUCUGGGUUGGAAGGUAUCCUGAUAUACCUAAUUCUAUUUAUGAAACUGCAUAUGUGCUUUGAAACUCCGUUUAGAUCCAGCUCUUUCAGUUAGAGAUGGAAACCAUAUGUGUGUCUAAGGCCCUUAUGUUUUGCCUUGGAGAGUCUUAGAUUUUGUUUUGAUUUCAAACUUGGCAUCAUUUUCAGAUUUGGAGGCAUCCUGGGUAUGUCCUUGACCCUCUGUGUCAUGCAGAAACAUUUUUGUUAUCCAUUAUUACUCUUCUUAGAUGAGUCUCAGGGCCAUAUGCUUCGAAAGGUGUUGUGCCUUUCUUUCUCAGAAAAGUUAUUCUAAGUAAAACAGAGAUCCAAAGAAAAUAUGUGGAACAUUCAGGCUCACAAUCUUGUACAUAGUAAAAUAGUUUUUUGUUUAUUGUUUAUUUGAAUUAAUCAGGUCUGCUUUUCCCCUUUAUUCCUUAUUUCUUUUGUGGGAAGUGAACUAAAGCUUCUGCUGCACCAUGAACCCAAGAAUUGUAGACAUAUCCCAGUGGCCAGAUGGCUGACUACCCACCAAGUCUACCUUCCCAUUCUCUCAAGGUAAUGAGCUAGCUGUAGCCCAAUAUGUGACCUCUCAGUUGGUGGCUAUGUUUCAAGAGCCACUUGCAGGUGUGUGUCUGAGUUCCUUCCAGAGGAAUGUGAGCAGAAGGGACAGGAGACAUUUCUAGGCCCUGGGUCUGACAUACAGCCUUCCCUGUGGUUGGUGCUGAACUACAGAGUAGCCGAAGACCAACUGGCUUUGAGCAUACAGGUGCAGGACUACUGUAUGAGAGAUGAAAAACCUUCUUUGUCCUUAAAAUGAACUUUUUCCCUAAAAUUACAUGUAGACCUUGGGGCUCAUGCAUAAGAAUUAAAGAGAAAGUGGGAAAGAAAUCUCUUUUUGUUUCCUUGCAUAGAACGGAGACAUGGAGGAGUUUGGUGUCUUAGUAAGUAGUUGGCUUUGGCUGAAAUGAGUGUAUGUGGGUGUGUGAGUGUGAGAGAGAGAGAGAGUGUGUGUGUGUGUGUGUGUGUGUACGUGUUGGGGGCUGGGGCCCAGGACGAGGGGUUGUGGAUUACAGGAGGCCUCUUUUUUAAAUUUAAAUUAAAAUUUUUUUUUGAGACAGAGUCUCACUCUGUCACGCAGCUUGGAGUGCAGUGUUUGAUCAUAGUUCAUUGCAGCCUCAACCUCCCUGGCUCAAGCAAUUCUCCUACCUCAACCUCCUAAGUAGUUGGCACCACAAAUGUGCAUCACCAUGCCUAGCUAAUUUUUUUUUUUUAUUUUUGGUAGAGACAGAAUCUCUCCAUGUUGCCCAGGCUGGUCUUGAACUCCUGGGCUCAAGCAAGCAAUCCUCCUGCCUCGGCCUCCCAAAGUGCUGGGAUUACAAGUGUGAGUCACUUCGCCCUGCUGAAAGACUUCUUAGUGAGCACAACAAGGACAAGCACUGGGGUCAGAUUCCCAAGGUGGACCCACAUUUGAGGGAUGGUCAUGGUCAUAGAAAGUUUAAGGGAGCAAAAGAGUCCAGGAAAAUAAUGAAGCAGCAAAUGCUGGAGAAAGUGGUAUCACGAAGCCAAGGAAGAAGAUUCCAAUUGAUACAGAUAUUUGCUACUACAUUUUUUGCUGGUUUUUUUUUGAAAUGAGAAUAAUUCUUAUUUUUCUUCUAUAAGAAUUUUUCUUACGAAAUAAGAAGUUUUCAAAGGGAAUUCAAUGAAAAAAUUAACCAAUUUAUCCUUUGGUCCUAGGGCUUGGUUUAGAUGAAUAAAUACCCAUAUCUUGUACCCAGUGCUACCUGUGACAGUCUAGUUGCUCCAAAUACUUGCUCUGCCUCUUUGAAUAGUACUUUUUCCAAGCUGCUUUAAAGUUCUAAUUUUUUAGCAAUAAUUUUAAUGGCUUUGUCAUUGUUGAGGAGAAGGUGGUAAAGUAUCAUGGAGAUAAGAGAAACCGGAUCUAUAGAGUCAAAGAGAAGAGAAGCAAAGGAAUACUUAAUUGGAUGAUUUAAGACAAGUUCCAUUCCACUUUUUAAAAAUUAGUUGAAAAAUUUUAGACUGAGGCGAUUGAGAAACUUGUUUCAAGACUUCAGAAUUUAUGGGUUAGGAUAUGCAGGAAUGAGGUCUAUGUUUCUCCAACUUGUCCUGUCUUAUUUGACUAAGCAUAAUGGUGAAAGGUACAGAUUUGAAAAUCAGGUGGCCUGGAGUCACGGCCCUGCUCAGCCACUCAUUAGCUGUGUGAUUUCAGUCAAGUUAGUCAGCUUCUCUGUGCCACAGCUUCUUCAUCUGCAAAAUGGGGAUAACGACAGAAUCUGUCACAGCCCAGGUUCUCCCCACGGUGGAGUGUGAACAAAGAGAUCUAUCUUUCUGAGUUGCUUAUCUUAGAAAGAGAUCCCAGAUAGCAGGAGAGAGAGACAGGGGAGGUGGGACAGGGACAAAGGGAAGGCCAACUCAAGGAUGUGUGUUAGGAUGGCCACUGCUGUGGGUGACAGAUUGCUCCAAUGUUGAGGACUUGAUCUGUCUUGUGAAGACACUGCAUUUGGCACCAGGCUGUUCAUUUUAAUCAGUCUUUCAUAACCUUCUCACUGUGUCCUUUUCACAUGUUCUGCCAUGUCUUCAUGUCUUUUUCUUCUUCUUCUUUUUUUUUUUAAGAUGGAGUCUCGCUCUGUUGCCCAGGCUGGAGUGCAGUGGCGCGAUCUUGGCUCACUGCAAGCUCCGCCUCCCAGGUUCAUGCCAUUCUCCUGCCUCAGCCUCCCGAGUAGCUGGGACUACAGGCGCCCACCACCACGCCCUGCUAUUUUUUUUCUUUUUUGUAUUUUUAGUGGAGACAGGGUUUCACCGUGUUAGCCAGGGUGGUCUCGAUCUCCUGACCUCGUGAUCCACCUGUCUCGGCCUCCCAAAGUGCUGUGAUUACAGGCAUGAGCCACCGCCACCGUGGCCAGCCCCUUU
Long non-coding RNA from Pan troglodytes (chimpanzee), 11617 nucleotides. RefSeq lists it as uncharacterized. The record is from RefSeq and is a predicted model, not a curated record. The transcript has 6 exons. NCBI's taxonomy places the organism in Eukaryota, Metazoa, Chordata, Mammalia, Primates, Hominidae.